Stegodyphus dumicola is the source of this 1355-nucleotide long non-coding RNA. RefSeq lists it as uncharacterized. NCBI's taxonomy places the organism in Eukaryota, Metazoa, Arthropoda, Arachnida, Araneae, Eresidae. The record is from RefSeq and is a predicted model, not a curated record.
CUCGUUGAUGCUUCACAGAGUCUCGCCUUCGUCUACAGCAGCAGCCUGAAAAAAACAUGGAAUAUGCGAGGCAAUUUAUGGCUAUCAGCGGUAAUCAGCGGGUUAUUUUGAAGCAGAAGACGUAAAAAAUGUGCAAUGUCUUCGCAGGGACUCGAAUCCAGGACUUCUCGAAUACGCAUCGAAUAUGCUUCCAGUUACACCAGGAAGACAUGACGAAAGAAGUCGAAGCCCAGAAACUUUGUGGCCGCGAGUCCAAAAACAGAUCAACCUUAUUUUGGAUGUCCUGUGCAGAAUGGAAGAAUGUUUACAGAAAUGGAAUGUUUAUGAACUAUUUAAUAGAAUGAAAGAUUGCUUAACCCUUGAAAACUUUCCUUUAUACUUAUAAAGAAUAAGUGUAAAGGAUGUUUGCAAGGAUCACUUGCCUAAAGAAAGGGAUGUCUUCGUGGAAGACUUCCUAAGAGAAACUGUUUUCUAUCCACAUUACAGAUGGAGUAAACCAUGAAGACUGCCACGCAACCAAUCCGUUCGCAGGGACUUAAAUCCGAGCUGAAACUACCAAUACUCAGCCAUUUAUCUCGGCCGCUGGUGGGCUUCAAAAGAAAGAUGAACAUAUUUUAAUUCUAAAUGUUUAAAAAAAAUUAAUCACCAUACGAAGUUUAAUUCUUCUAUUUAACUCAUCAUCCUAAAAUUGAAUUAAAUUUAGAUUCUUCCAUAUUUCAUUUUUCAACCAGACUAAACCCAUACUUCACCCACAACAUCUGCGUUACUAGCGAUGUGUUAAAAAUAACAAUAAACUGAAUAUUAAAUAUGAUGUGAUAGCACAAAAUACAAAUCGAAACGUACAAGAAGCUAGAAAUCCUUGGACUUUCACAUUUAACUUCGAGGUCAAGGGAUUUAAAAUCAUUUUUUAUGGUUAUUUCCCUCAAAACCCACACAUCCAUUAAAAGGAAGCAUGAGUUGUUUCGCAUGCAUUUUAGCAGACAGCAAAUAAGAAGAGAACAUUAAAAUCAUAAACAGGUUUCAGCAGAUAAUGUUACAAAUGAUGGAACAUUGGAAGAGAGUGUUUUUGGAUGCAUCAUAAUUGGCAUACAACUUGACUGACAUUUAAACCAGAAUUAAAACACGCAGUGAUAAAGAAACAUUUUAAAUUUUAAAUUCUGACAAUAUGUUAAUAAUGCUUGCCCUCUCUGUUGUUCCAUGCGAGGAAACUGAAUUUUUGGACAGAAUGCAAAGGUUAAAAAUACGCAAAGCAAAACACCGAACAAUGGCGGUUUAUUAAAUUCAUUAUUUUGUAGCGAAAAUCUCUCGAUAUUUCGUUCAUUCGCUGUACUCAAUGUGUAAAUAAAUAUGCUCAG